RNAcentral lists this unclassified non-coding RNA (258 nucleotides) under plant metagenome. Its description in RNAcentral is "partial contains small subunit ribosomal RNA, internal transcribed spacer 1, and 5.8S ribosomal RNA". The stretch from base 1 to 54 matches the Rfam family "Eukaryotic small subunit ribosomal RNA", at positions 1778 to 1831 of the family's 1831-position model. The record is from RNAcentral.
GGAAGUAAAAGUCGUAACUAGGUUUCCGUAGGUGAACCUGCGGAAGGAUCAUUACUGAGUGAGGGCCCCUCGGGGUCCAACCUCCCACCCGUGUUUAACGAACCUUGUUGCUUCGGCGGGCCCGCCUCACGGCCGCCGGGGGGCAUCUGCCCCCGGGCCCGCGCCCGCCGAAGCCACCUGUGAACGCUGUCUGAAGUAUGCAGUCUGAGACAAUUAUUAAAUUAAUUAAAACUUUCAACAACGGAUCUCUUGGUUCCG